RNAcentral lists this ribosomal RNA (378 nucleotides) under uncultured bacterium. RNAcentral describes it as "bacterial SSU rRNA". It matches the Rfam family "Bacterial small subunit ribosomal RNA", at positions 30 to 407 of the family's 1533-position model. The record is from RNAcentral.
AUUGAACGCUGGCGGCAGGCCUAACACAUGCAAGUCGAGCGUGAAAGCCUUCGGGUGAGUAAAGCGGCGGACGGGUGAGUAACGCGUGGGAAUCUGCCCGGUAGCGGGGACAAGCAGUCGGAAACGACGAUGCUAAUAACCGCAUACCGCCCUGCAGGGGAAAGGACAGGGAGGUCUUCGGACCUUGCACUAUCGGAUGAGCCGCGUCAGAUUAGCUGGUUGGUAGGGAUAGUCGCUACCAAGGCAACGAUCUGUAACUGGUCUGAGAGGAUGAUCAGUCACACUGGAACUGAGACACGGUCCAGACUCCUACGGGAGGCAGCAGUGGGAAUAUUGCACAAUGGGGAAGCCAUCGAUGCAGCCAUGCCGCGCUGUGUG